GGAAGGGAUGUAGCUCAGUGGUCGAGCAUCUGCUUUUCGUGCAGAAGGCUCCAGGUUCAAUUCCCGGCAUUUCCA
Molecule: non-coding RNA, 75 nt
Organism: Rhineura floridana
Lineage: Eukaryota; Metazoa; Chordata; Lepidosauria; Squamata; Rhineuridae
Source: the annotation of a RefSeq genome assembly